This 1302-nucleotide long non-coding RNA is filed under the name Triticum aestivum (bread wheat). RNAcentral's name for it is "long non-coding RNA (TAES_LNC009069)". Lineage: Eukaryota; Viridiplantae; Streptophyta; Magnoliopsida; Poales; Poaceae. The record is from RNAcentral.
UCCACCCAAACACACACCAUCCACCAGUUCAUCUCACUGAGCUCGCAGGCAGCCCCAGCCACCAGCGAAAUGGCCGCGUCGGCGCUGCACCAGACGACCAGCUUCCUCGGCACCGCCCCGCGGCGUGAUGACCUCGUCCGCAGCGUCGGCGACUUCGGCGGCCGCAUCACCAUGCGCCGGACCGUCAAGAGCGCGCCCCAGAGCAUCUGGUACGUGCUGCUAGUAUUUCCCAUGGUUCUCUUCUCUCUCCCCGCGACAUUCAUCAUAUCACUGGACUAAUGCACCUUUUUGAUGGAUGGAUGAAUGUGUAGGUACGGCCCUGACCGUCCCAAGUACCUGGGCCCGUUCUCCGAGCAGACCCCGUCGUACCUGACCGGCGAGUUCCCCGGCGACUACGGGUGGGACACCGCCGGAUUGUCGGCUGACCCAGAGACCUUCGCCAAGAACCGGGAGCUGGAGGUGAUCCACUCACGGUGGGCGAUGCUCGGCGCCCUGGGGUGCGUGUUCCCGGAGAUCCUGUCCAAGAACGGCAUCAAGUUCGGCGAGGCCGUGUGGUUCAAGGCCGGUGCCCAGAUCUUCUCCGAGGGCGGCCUCGACUACCUGGGCAACCCCAACCUGGUGCACGCGCAGAGCAUCCUCGCCAUCUGGGCGGUUCAGGUGGUGCUCAUGGGCUUCAUCGAGGGUUACCGCGUUGGUGGCGGCCCCCUCGGCGAGGGCCUCGACAUCAUCUACCCAGGCGGCGCCUUCGACCCACUUGGCCUCGCCGACGACCCCGACACCGCAGCUGAGCUCAAGGUCAAGGAGCUCAAGAACGGCCGCCUCGCCAUGUUCUCCAUGUUCGGCUUCUUCGUGCAGGCCAUCGUCACCGGAAAGGGGCCCGUAGAGAACCUCUUCGACCACGUCGCCGACCCGGUCAACAACAACGCGUGGGCCUUCGCCACCAACUUCGCCCCCGGAAGCUAAAUGUGUUAAGCCAUCUGUCCGUCCAUCGGACGAGAUAUGCAUGUGUACUUGUACGUCGUGGAUCAACGUGUAGCUGCACGUACUUUGUGUGUUUAUUUGUACCAUGAUCGAGCGAGCGAGAUGACCUCUCGCUGGCUGCGCGCAAUGUAAAUUAAUUAAGCACGAGAUGCACGAGCAAAUGGAUGGAAGAAUCGUGUAUCAUUAGUACAUUACUCGAGAUCAUCAACUGGCAUGGCGUAUAUGGUACUUCAAGCUCAUGAAACGGGACAUUCGCAACGGCAUACGGAGAUCCAACGGGCCAACUAUACAACUCUGUCUUUGUGGCUAUUCUUGGUUCAG